Molecule: long non-coding RNA, 252 nt
Filed under: Athene cunicularia (burrowing owl)
Lineage: Eukaryota; Metazoa; Chordata; Aves; Strigiformes; Strigidae
Description: lncRNA (ENSACUG00000010497.1)
Source: RNAcentral
GAAUCUACCUUCCUGAUCAAGACACCUGAAAAGUAGAUAAUUGGCUUAAGGACUUCACAUUUGGCAUGGCAGGAAGAAGGCAUGAGAGGACUGUUCCUAAACUACAGAACAAGUGUUUCAGCAAAUGAUCAACCUGUGAAUCUGGGUGGUAGCCCAAUAACCCACCUCAGUGCCUUAGCCCUGCUCUAAAGGCAUGAUCAUGAGAGAUGAGCUAGCCACUUAGUCCUCUGCAUAUUCAGUGUGCCCCAUCAC